This 253-nucleotide ribosomal RNA is filed under the name uncultured bacterium. Its description in RNAcentral is "partial 16S ribosomal RNA". It matches the Rfam family "Bacterial small subunit ribosomal RNA", at positions 524 to 776 of the family's 1533-position model. The record is from RNAcentral.
UACGAAGGGGGCUAGCGUUGCUCGGAAUCACUGGGCGUAAAGCGCACGUAGGCGGAUUUCUAAGUCAGGGGUGAAAUCCUGGAGCUCAACUCCAGAACUGCCUUUGAUACUGGGAAUCUCGAGUCCGGGAGAGGUGAGUGGAACUGCGAGUGUAGAGGUGAAAUUCGUAGAUAUUCGCAAGAACACCAGUGGCGAAGGCGGCUCACUGGCCCGGUACUGACGCUGAGGCACGAAAGCGUGGGGAGCAAACAGG